This 1343-nucleotide ribosomal RNA is filed under the name uncultured bacterium. RNAcentral's name for it is "16S ribosomal RNA". It matches the Rfam family "Bacterial small subunit ribosomal RNA", at positions 28 to 1378 of the family's 1533-position model. The record is from RNAcentral.
GACGAACGUUGGCGGCGUGCUUAACACAUGCAAGUCGAACGGAAAGGCCCUGCUUUUGUGGGGUGCUCGAGUGGCGAACGGGUGAGUAACACGUGAGUAACCUGCCCUUGACUUUGGGAUAACUUCAGGAAACUGGGGCUAAUACCGGAUAGGAGCUCCUGCUGCAUGGUGGGGGUUGGAAAGUUUCGGCGGUUGGGGAUGGACUCGCGGCUUAUCAGCUUGUUGGUGGGGUAGUGGCUUACCAAGGCUUUGACGGGUAGCCGGCCUGAGAGGGUGACCGGCCACAUUGGGACUGAGAUACGGCCCAGACUCCUACGGGAGGCAGCAGUGGGGAAUAUUGCACAAUGGGCGGAAGCCUGAUGCAGCAACGCCGCGUGCGGGAUGACGGCCUUCGGGUUGUAAACCGCUUUCGCCUGUGACGAAGCGUGAGUGACGGUAAUGGGUAAAGAAGCACCGGCUAACUACGUGCCAGCAGCCGCGGUGAUACGUAGGGUGCGAGCGUUGUCCGGAUUUAUUGGGCGUAAAGGGCUCGUAGGUGGUUGAUCGCGUCGGAAGUGUAAUCUUGGGGCUUAACCCUGAGCGUGCUUUCGAUACGGGUGACUGAGGGGAAGGUAGGGGAGAAUGGAAUUCCUGGUGGAGCGGUGGAAUGCGCAGAUAUCAGGAGGAACACCAGUGGCGAAGGCGGUUCUCUGGGCCUUUCCUGACGCUGAGGAGCGAAAGCGUGGGGAGCGAACAGGCUUAGAUACCCUGGUAGUCCACGCUGUAAACGGUGGGUACUAGGUGUGGGGUCCAUUCCACGGGUUCCGUGCCGUAGCUAACGCUUUAAGUACCCCGCCUGGGGAGUACGGCCGCAAGGCUAAAACUCAAAGGAAUUGACGGGGCCCCGCACAAGCGGCGGAGCAUGCGGAUUAAUUCGAUGCAACGCGUAGAACCUUACCUGGGUUUGACAUGGAUCGGGAGUGCUCAGAGAUGGGUGUGCCUCUUUUGGGGUCGGUUCACAGGUGGUGCAUGCCUGUCGUCAGCUCGUGUCGUGAGAUGUUGGGUUAAGUCCCGCAACGAGCGCAACCCUUGUUCACUGUUGCCAGCACGUUAUGGUGGGGACUCAGUGGAGACCGCCGGGGUCAACUCGGAGGAAGGUGGGGAUGACGUCAAGUCCUCAUGCCCCUUAUGUCCAGGGCUUCACGCAUGCUACAAUGGCUGGUACAGAGAGUGGCGAGCCUGUGAGGGUGAGCGAAUCUCGGAAAGCCGGUCUCAGUUCGGAUUGGGGUCUGCAACUCGACCUCAUGAAGUCGGAGUCGCUAGUAAUCGCAGAUCAGCAACGCUGCGGUGAAUACGUUCCCGGG